RNAcentral lists this unclassified non-coding RNA (401 nucleotides) under soil metagenome. RNAcentral describes it as "partial contains 5.8S ribosomal RNA, internal transcribed spacer 2, and large subunit ribosomal RNA". The stretch from base 1 to 122 matches the Rfam family "5.8S ribosomal RNA", at positions 35 to 154 of the family's 154-position model. The record is from RNAcentral.
GAUGAAGAACGUAGUGAAAUGCGAUACUUGGUGUGAUUUGCAGAAUCCCGUGAAUCAUCGAGUCUUUGAACGCAAGUUGCGCCCGAAGCCUUUUGGCCGAGGGCACGUCUGCCUGGGUGUCACGCAACGUCGCCGCCAGCACACCCUUCCCUUAGGGGAUCGGGAUGUAGCUGGGGGCGGAUUUUGGCCUCCCGUGCGCCUCAGCGCGCGCGGUUGGCCUAAAUUUCAGCUCACGGCGAGGAUCGCCACGACAAGCGGUGGUUUUUUGAACUAAGGACCUCGGGUGUUGUCGUGCGGCCUCGCGGAGAGAAGGAACCCUCGUGCGCUAGCGCACACUCUUAACGAGACCCCAGGUCAGUCGGGAACACCCGCUGAAUUUAAGCAUAUCAAUAAGCGGAGGA